ACUCUUCUUUAUAGCAGCAUUUUAAAAAAAUGAUCUAUUUUUAACCACUUAUCCCACCUGAUUCCUGCUUGCCAGCCAUCUAGCCACAAGGGGAAAAAGAGAGAAAGUUGAAAUAUUUCAUUUGUUGCCACGUGAGUCCCAUUUAGGUUACUUCACACAAACUUAACACAAACAGCCUGCAGUGUUGAUCCUCAGAUGGCACAAUAGGCUCCUUCAAAACUCCACGCCCCUCUUUUCCCUCCCCUUCCUGCCUUACUUGUCUCUCAGUCCCCAAAUGGUUUCACAAAAGAGCAAUGGACCAGCAUUGUUGAGACAGAAAUGCUGAGCUCUUUCCCAGUUUGAGAUUUGAUUCCGAUCCCUGGUCUUCAGCCCCUGACCUGAUAGAACAUUGACCUAAAAAAAUUAGGACAGUUGUCCAAACCCCCUAGUUUCCCAUUCCAUUCUGGACUGAUUAUUAGUUCAGUUCUCUAAAGCUCUAGGAAGUUAAUUUUUUCUUCCUUCUUGAGCAAGGUGUGGCCAUUGGGAGUCUAAGUAGGGCUAGAAGAGGAGCUUUUCUAGAACAUUUGGCAGAGCCUUUAGUCAUGCCCAGUGAAAGCAGGUUAACUACAAAGCAGGUUAACAAGGAGCCCCUUGGAGCGGGGGGGGGGCGAGGGGGGGGGGCUUCUCUGUCCCUACUGGGGACUCUGCUCUCACCCUCUACCUCCUUCAACACCCAGUGCCUCUACUUUCCUUCCCCACUGGGCUGCAUUUGGGUUAAAGAUUCUUGGUUCAUCAAAGGAAAAGAGUCAUUGGUCAAAGAACCUGUCCCCACGGUGUUACUUCUGAAACAAAGGGCAUCUCUUGAAUUAGAACAGGAGAGAAAUGGAAAGAAAUGAGUUUCUACUGAUAUCUGUUAGUUCAGGUGAGUAGGUUCAAUGAGAGGUGUGAUUCCAUGAACCUUGGUGGUCAAAGCCUUAACUCUAGGAGAAAUGUCAACACCUCAGACAGUACGGUGGUAAAUGGUGUAUGUGAUCGGGAAUCUUAAAAACCCUGGAAUCAAAUUCUACCUCUGCCAUUUAUGACCUUUCCUACUUUGGGCAACGUUACCUCUCACAGCAUCAGGUUUCUCAUCUGUAAAUCAGGAAAUUGAAAUAUAGACUUCAUAGGGUUGUUGUCAGGAUAAAAAUCAGAUAGCAUCUCCAACCUACAUCAGCAAUAUUAGAUCACGAACCUUCCCCCCUUCCCCCACCCUGAAGGGGUGAUAGAGUAAACCAUUUAUGAGUCGAUAAGAUGAAUCAGUCUGCCGUAGCUUUUCCAACGAUAGCAGAGCUGAAAUGAAAUAAGUUCUGAUUUCAUACCUCAUGUCUACUUUCUUGGAGACUUUGAAAAUUAUACUUGAACAAGCAAGAAAAAAAAAUACUCUGGUGGAUAUAUUAUUGCCAUUUUAAAAAUAAUUUAAAAUAGAGGUUUAAAGCUUUCAGCUAAUUUUCCUAGGCAAAUGAAUCUUCCAUAUAACAAAUGGCAACAUCAAAAUCUUAUAGACUGAGCUGGCAUAUCUAUACCUGGUUUUCUCUAGGGAAAACAAGUUAUCUUUUCUAAAGGACCCAGUCUAACAUCUUUGAGGAGUCAUUGCAUCCCUGAGGAUGUGUAAAGCUGCAUCCCUCAGGCAACUAGGGGGAAAGGGAAUUAACCUAAAUUUAUUUCCAUGAAAGCAGAAAUAUGCUGGAAUCCAGUUUUCCUGAAAUGGUUGAAAUGUACUUUUUAGUUUAUGUAGUCUCAUUAGAGCUAGAGAUUGGUUUUAUAAAAUAUACAUAUGGAGCCUGUAACACAUUCUCUACUUUUCCCCAUCAGCAAAAGGAAACAAGAACAAAAUCGAGUGUUUCUUCAGCACUUGAUUCUUCAUACAACAGUAUGAAAUUAGAUUGUUGUGAGAAUCCCAUUUUUCAGCCAAGGAAUCUUAUAUCCAAGCGUAGCCUGCACGAGAUCAAUGGGUGAGUCAGCAGCUUAACCAGGCAUCCAACUCCAGGCUGCCAGUUCCAAAGUCCACACUCUUCUUGUUGCCACACUCUGCUUUGCGGUGACAACACAUGAACAACAUAUGAGAAAGUUCUUCGUAGGUGCCUAGUAAAUGUUACUUUCUCUAAAUCCUCUGUUUCCUUCAUCAAAACGUGUACGCAGCUCAUUGUAUCCGUGACUGUAUUGUAGACUCACUGAGAAGUGCUAUUCAGAGUCUGGUUACUCAAACCCCCAGGGUAAGAGAUGAAUGUGAAUACAAUAAUUUAAGGACCAGAGAUUCUAAGAACUUCUCCUGCAAGAGUACAGAGUAAAAGAGCAUCAAGUCAGUUUCUAAAAGUAACACACACACACAAAAACGAUAAAUAGAAUACACACAGAAUUCAGGAUUAAAGACUAAAUGGGGAUAAACUACAUCUAAUAGAUCCAUGUUAUAGACACACACACCCCACCCCAAAUAGUAAGUAGAUGUAUUUAGAGAACUGAAAUUAGGGAAGCAGAAGAUUGUUUGGGAGGAAGAGAUAAAAUCUGAAAAGUUGUUAUUUUUAUAAGCACAGCAACCUAGCCAGCAAAGGGCUUUGGACAUAGUAGGUGCUGAAAAAAACAUGUGGAAAAACUCAUUCCAUUUGGCCAUUCUAUUAAUAGUUAUAGCUUGCCAUGCAUACAAUUAAUUUGGCUACCGCAGUUGUUCUUUAGAAUGAAACUGGCUGAAAUGAACACCUAUUGCUGUGGGCUAGUUAAGUCAACAAGUAAGAUUGAGCAGGUGAAGCCUGGUACUCAUUGUAAGGUGUUGUAUGUCCUAAUUCCAGAGGAGAACAGGAAUCUAUCAAAAGCCCUGGGUCAGGUCCUCGCAGAACAUGGCUUAAGACUCAAUGAGAAGUGCUCUUUAGAAUCUGGUUACUCAAACCACCAGGAUAAGAGAUGAUAUGAAAGAUAAUCAGUAGAUCUUCACAGUGUAUCUUGGAAUCAGUGUCAUGGGACAGGCUGACCCCCAGAGAGACAAGGUUGGUUAUGUCUACUCCUUUCCUAAAUUAAAUUGGAGGACAAAUGGGGACACAAGUGUUUGCGAACUACUGUUGUCAACUGCUCUUUGCAAAGCUUAUUUUUUGAGCCCAAGAUAUGCUUCUUUUUUUCUUUCCUUUUUAUGGCAUCACCUGUGGUAUAUGGAAGUUCCUGGGCCAGGGGUCAAAUUGAAGCUGCAGGUGUGGUGCCUGCUAGAGCCAAGGCAACACUGGAUUGGAGCCACAUCUGUGCCCUAUGCCGCAGCUUACAGCAACUCCAGAUGUUUAACCUACUGAGCCAGGCCACUGAUCGAACCCACAUCCUCACAGAGUCAAUGUCCGGAACUUAACCCACAGAGCCACAACAGGAACUCCCAAGGUGUGCUUCUUAUUUUUCUUCCUGAAUUAAAAUAUGUGUACACACACACACACACACACACAUAUAUAUAUUCUGUAAGAAAUCUAAUCUAUAUUCUCAUUUCUUUAUUCAUCAAACUUAUGCCCAGGUAAUGGGAGUUGAUGACCAAAUAUUUUUCCAUUCAGAACAGAACCAUAUGUUUUGUUUGCUGUAAACAGAUUAAAACUUGAAGAUUUUUGAAUUUGCUUUGAAAUGAGGUGUCUUAAAGCUUCAAGUGAAAUCUAAACUAAAAAAAGCAUUUUCUAAGUCUAGCUCUCCAUUUCAUGCUUGGCUUUCAGAGUUCCUUCACAUGCACAGUACACAUUCUACUGAGAAUGAGGGGGUGGGGGAGGCGGCAGGCUCCUGAUACUGAAACCACAAGACAAUAGUCAACUUCAUCGAGCCCUGUCCGUUAACUCUUUAAGACCCUGUAGGGCAAUUUGAGGACUAGCUCUUACAAUCUGGUCAUAAAAACUGGUUGGAACCUUUACCACCACCUAGAGGUCAUUGAACUGAACUGCAAAAACAAAGGAAAACAUUAUUAAAGAGACUUGUAUAGUCCCAUGCCUAUUAUGAUUUUUCCAUUACUAUACUGAACUGACACAAUAUUAGCUCCCUGGGAGAAACAGAUGAUCCUCAGAAAAGGGAUGAUUUUCAACCUCCCAAAUAUAAAGUAGGUCAAGGAACAGGGAAGACCAUCUGGAAAAAGUGGUUGCUCCAAGAAUACUCCUGACUUGAGUUUAAAUUGCCACUUCCCGUACCAGCAACUAUAUUUUGAAAAACAUAUGUUCAACAUGUGCUCCAAAGGCAGCCAUUAAUACCAUCAUCUUGCUUCCUGGUGGUGUAAGAGGCGAACAGAAAUGAAUAUGUUGAUAUCCAGAUUUUUCUUUGUUGUUAUCAAAUUCUGUUGCACUAUUCUCUGUAUCCUAGAACCUAGAUUGCUAGUUCAUUCUUGAUGUAUUUAGGCAAGGUUGGAAGAAGCAAAUUUAAUUUUUUCCCAUGGUUUUAUUCCCUUGAAAAAAACAAUCAUUUUCUUUUAAUAUUUGUGGAACAGAUCAAAAACAUCCUGUCUGAGACAUUUG
RNAcentral lists this long non-coding RNA (4472 nucleotides) under Sus scrofa (pig). RNAcentral's name for it is "lncRNA (ENSSSCG00000053187.1)". The record is from RNAcentral. Lineage: Eukaryota; Metazoa; Chordata; Mammalia; Artiodactyla; Suidae.